This 281-nucleotide ribosomal RNA is filed under the name unidentified marine bacterioplankton. Its description in RNAcentral is "partial 16S ribosomal RNA". It matches the Rfam family "Bacterial small subunit ribosomal RNA", at positions 56 to 339 of the family's 1533-position model. The record is from RNAcentral. RNAcentral also lists the same sequence under 1 other name.
UGCAAGUCGAACGAGAACGGUCCUUCGGGAUGUCAGCUAAGUGGCGGACGGGUGAGUAAUGUAUAGUUAAUUUGCCCCUUAGAGGGGGAUAACAGUUGGAAACGACUGCUAAUACCCCAUACUCCUUUAUAGUUAAUCUAUAUUGGGAAAGUUUUUUCGCUAAGGGAUAAGACUAUAUGGUAUCAGGUAGUUGGUAGGGUAAGAGCCUACCAAGCCUAUGACGCCUAGCUGGUCUGAGAGGAUGAUCAGCCACACUGGAACUGAGACACGGUCCAGACUCC